RNAcentral lists this ribosomal RNA (254 nucleotides) under uncultured bacterium. Its description in RNAcentral is "partial 16S ribosomal RNA". It matches the Rfam family "Bacterial small subunit ribosomal RNA", at positions 524 to 776 of the family's 1533-position model. The record is from RNAcentral.
UACGUAGGGUGCAAGCGUUGUCCGGAAUUAUUGGGCGUAAAGAGCUCGUAGGCGGUUUGUCGCGUCUGCUGUGAAAACGCGAGGCUCAACCUCGCGCCUGCAGUGGGUACGGGCAGACUAGAGUGCGGUAGGGGGAGAUUGGAAUUCCUGGUGUAGCGGUGGAAUGCGCAGAUAUCAGGAGGAACACCGAUGGCGAAGGCAGGUCACUGGGCCGCAACUGACGCUGAGGAGCGAAAGCAUGGGGAGCGAACAGG